Molecule: long non-coding RNA, 586 nt
Filed under: Fukomys damarensis (Damara mole-rat)
Lineage: Eukaryota; Metazoa; Chordata; Mammalia; Rodentia; Bathyergidae
Description: lncRNA (ENSFDAG00000022869.1)
Source: RNAcentral
GUGGGAUAGCGGGGUUGUGGGGGGGUGGGAGUUGCUACUUUCUAGCCAUUUGGCAGAGAGACUAGCUAGCACUUGCGGGCAGAGCCUGGGUUCUUCUCAGAACAGCCUUCUCACAGCGCUGCUGCCUGGAAUGGGCACAUUCUGAAAGCCCUGGCCUAGUUUGACAGUGAGACUCUAAGCUUAGCUCACUGCCCACCCUGAAGCAGCACCACCCCAUGCCUGGUCCCCGGUGUCCAAGAGCACCCCAAGGGGAAAGCUGCAAUGGUGUCACCACCACGAAGAUCUUGGGGAAGCCAGGUGUCUGCAGCAUCUCUGCCACUCGAGCAAGCUGGGCCCGGCCUCUACAGCCCCAUGGUGGUGACCCAGGGCCCCAAGACCACUGGGAAGCACCUUCUCCUCUUCCAUAACUGGCUGUUCCCCAGCAAGGAGAGGUGAGUCUAGACAGUCACUGACUGCCUCCCUCUCUGCUAAGUCUCUGUCCAAAACCCUGAGAGAUUCCUCCCUACCAGCUCCACAUGAGUGUGUCUGGGCUGCCUGUGUCAUCAAACAGUGUCCUAGGAGGUCCCCAAAGUGGAGACAGGGAACU